CUUCAUGAGCCACUUGUAAAGUGUCCCAUAUUUCCUUUGUAGUAGUACAGCUUUGAAUCCUACUGUACUCAUCUAGACCCACUCCACACACAAGCCAUUUCUUGGACUUGGUAUUCUUCUCCCAUUUCUUCAAGUCUUUAGCAGUACAGUCAGCUCUUAUCUUUGGUACAUCCACUCCUUCAGCAUUCUUCUUUGUAGUUGCCAGAGGACCAUCAGUGACUAUGUCCCAUAGUUCAUCGUCUUCUUCUAUGAUGUGAUCUCUCAUCCUAUUCUUCCACUAAAGAUAGUACUGGCAAUCAAAGAGUGGAGGCCUAGCAGUAGAUUGCCCUUCCUAAUUUUCAGGUAGUGCACACAUUUUGAUCUUUUCCUAAAGUGUUAGCCUCUUCAAGGAUAACCCGCUCAGAUACCAAUUGAUAUUUUAUGCGUCAGUAUCACACAAGAGGAGGGGGUAAUUUGUGUGAUAUCCAAUUUUCACUUGUCUGAACUAUAGAAGAAC
RNAcentral lists this long non-coding RNA (496 nucleotides) under Nicotiana benthamiana. Its description in RNAcentral is "long non-coding RNA (NBEN_LNC025979)". The record is from RNAcentral. Lineage: Eukaryota; Viridiplantae; Streptophyta; Magnoliopsida; Solanales; Solanaceae.